Paramuricea clavata is the source of this 732-nucleotide non-coding RNA. The record is from the annotation of a GenBank genome assembly. Lineage: Eukaryota; Metazoa; Cnidaria; Anthozoa; Malacalcyonacea; Plexauridae.
CUUUGUACUCCAGGAGACUUUGCACAACUUUACUCUUGUCCUAACGCUUGUUUCAUUAACUUAAGUUUAUAAUGCUAUGGGCAUGUAUAAACUUGCUUUAAUGCACCAAUUCGUUAAGCAAAUAUUCUAGGACAAUUAAGAAAACAACUAUGAUACACACAAUGUUGUGGGAGAAGGGUUGUCGAGGAGAAAUGCUCCGAUUAUACUUUAAACUGUGGCCAAAGUGUCGCCCCACAGACUCACUAUUGCAGCAAUAUGAUUAUGAUAUAAUUAUAUGUCCUCAGGGGGUUGUGGUUCCCCCAUGUUGGACUUUACCCAAGGGGUAGUAGAUCCCCGAGAUGGGCAUCUUAAAUGUCCAAGGGGUAGUAGAUCCCCGUGAUGGUCAUUGUUUACUUUAAUGUCCAAGGGGUAGUAGAUCCCCGUGAUGGUCAUUGUUUACUUUAAUGUCCAAGGGGUAGUAGAUCCCCGUGAUGGUCAUUGUUUACUUUACAAUACACUGUUUAAUACAUUGAUUUGUGUGAGUCUAUGGGGUUGAGGGUGACCUUUGGGAGCACUCCAUCCCCACAAAUACACAGCAUGUGUAUUCCCCAUAGACGAAAAAACCCAACUCCCACCACAACUGUAAUCGUAUAGAAGAUAGAUGAUCUUUGUGCUUUUCGAAGACAUAUCGUCUAUAUUUCUCUUUCGACACACUUUAAAUAAUUAAUUGAUUAAAAUCAUGUUAUAUGCAAA